Molecule: long non-coding RNA, 269 nt
Organism: Acomys russatus (golden spiny mouse)
Lineage: Eukaryota; Metazoa; Chordata; Mammalia; Rodentia; Muridae
Exons: 3
Source: RefSeq, a predicted model, not a curated record
AGGCCCACACAGUCCAUGGCUGAUGAUGUCAGAUAUACAGGAAGGCCCACAGAGUCAAUGGCUGAUGAUGUCAGAUAUACAGGAAGGCCCACACAGUCCAUGGCUGAUGAUAUCAGAUAUACAGGAAGGCCCACACAGUCCAUGGCUGAUGAUGUCAGAUAUACAGGAAGGCCCACACAGUCCAUGGCUGAUGAUGUCAGAUAUACAGGAAGGCCCACACAGUCCAUGGCUGAUGAUAUCAGAUAUACAGGAAGGCCCACACAGCCCAU